AAAUCGGAGCGGACCCCCCACCGAAAUUUAACGAUCCCAAAUAAUAGAGGGCAUUGAAUGAUAAAUAACAAACAAGAAAAUCAUCCAAAAUAACAUCGUUAACCCCACACUGGUGUACUUCAAGGGAAAGACCAAAAGGAAAAGAAGGAACUCGGCAAACACCCCAAAGCCUCGCCUGUUUACCAAAAACAUCGCCUCUUGCUAACUACACAUAAGAGGUCCUGCCUGCCCUGUGACCCCUGGUUCAACGGCCGCGGUAUUUUGACCGUGCAAAGGUAGCGCAAUCACUUGUCUCUUAAAUGAGGACCUGUAUGAAUGGCACGACGAGGGCUUAACUGUCUCCUUUCCCCGGUCAGUGAAAUUGAUCUUCCCGUGCAGAAGCGGGAAUCCUAACAUAAGACGAGAAGACCCUAUGGAGCUUUAGACUUCAGAACAGAUCAUGUAAGCUACCCCCGUGAAAUGGGUAAUAACUAUUGAAUUUCUGUUCCCCUGUCUUUGGUUGGGGCGACCACGGGGAAGAAAAAAACCCCCAUGUGGACCAGGAGCACAUUACUCCUACAACCAUGAGCCACAGCUCUAAUGCACAAAAUUUUUGACCAUUAGAUCCGGCAAAGCCGAUCAACGGACCAAGUUACCCUAGGGAUAACAGCGCAAUCCCCUUUAAGAGUCCAUAUCGACAAGGGGGUUUACGACCUCGAUGUUGGAUCAAGACAUCCUAAUGGUGCAGCCGCUAUUAAGGGUUCGUUUGUUCAACGAUUAAAGUCCUACGUGAUCUGAGUUCAGACCGG
RNAcentral lists this ribosomal RNA (788 nucleotides) under Chelon saliens (leaping mullet). Its description in RNAcentral is "partial 16S ribosomal RNA". It matches the Rfam family "Bacterial large subunit ribosomal RNA", at positions 1538 to 2619 of the family's 2925-position model. Lineage: Eukaryota; Metazoa; Chordata; Actinopteri; Mugiliformes; Mugilidae. The record is from RNAcentral.